UCUCCGUAGGUGAACCUGCGGAGGGAUCAUUACAGAGUUCUCGCCCUCGCGGGUAGAUCUCCCACCCACUGUUAUCGUUACUGUGUUGCUUUGGCGGGCCGCCGGGCCCCGCUCGGCCGCCGGCUCCGGCUGGAGCGCGCCCGCCAGAGGCCCAGCAAACUCUGAAUGUUAGUGUCGUCUGAGUACUAUAUAAUAGUUAAAACUUUCAACAACGGAUCUCUUGGUUCUG
RNAcentral lists this unclassified non-coding RNA (229 nucleotides) under plant metagenome. RNAcentral describes it as "partial contains small subunit ribosomal RNA, internal transcribed spacer 1, and 5.8S ribosomal RNA". The record is from RNAcentral.